AUGCCAUGUCCGUCUUUAAAAUUCCUAAAAAAACUUUGCAAAGGAAUUAUUGACGCGAUGUCGCAGUUUUGGUGGGGCGACGAGGACAAUCAGAAGAGGAUGCAUUGGAUGGCAUGGUGGAAAAUGUGUGUUCCAAAAGAUCAAGGAGAUAUGGGCUUCCAAGAUAUACACUGUUUCAACCUAGCGCUAUUAGCUAAAUAA
This 201-nucleotide ribosomal RNA is filed under the name Triticum aestivum (bread wheat). RNAcentral's name for it is "partial small subunit ribosomal RNA". The record is from RNAcentral. Lineage: Eukaryota; Viridiplantae; Streptophyta; Magnoliopsida; Poales; Poaceae.